AAUAUGAUACCGGGGGUGGCUCUUUGAGCUUCUUUUUUCAAACUAACACCUUAUAACUCCGAAAAUUCUAAAAUAUUCAAUUUUUUCAACCUUUUCGGUUAUUCAAUUCAAUCUUCAUGUGGUAGCUUCACACACUUGCCGGACGACCGGGGUGGUAGCUCUUUCCUACAUGUGGUGGUAGUUUUCACACUCCUUUUGGAUGUAACUCUUUCCAUAUCUUUUAAACAUAGGAGUUUCUUUUUUU
This 244-nucleotide long non-coding RNA is filed under the name Ananas comosus (pineapple). Its description in RNAcentral is "long non-coding RNA (ACOM_LNC038250)". The record is from RNAcentral. Lineage: Eukaryota; Viridiplantae; Streptophyta; Magnoliopsida; Poales; Bromeliaceae.